GCUCGGCAAAAUAUCUCGCGAGCUUCCCUUUCUGUAUUCAAUCUCCAUCGAUCUACUAUAGCCGCCGCCUCCUCCUCGAUCCAUGUGGUCGCCCUUUGCCGCCGUCACCGGAGAGGCUCGCCUCCGCGGCCGCACGCCUUAGAUCCGGCGGGAGGAAAAGGAGGAAGAGCCCCGCACUGUCCUGUUCUUCGGCGGCGGCGAUCUACGCGCGAGCGAUGGGGAGGCGAGGAGGAGAAAGAGGCGAGGUGGUGGAGGAGGAGCCGAGGUCGACGACGGCGUCCUUGGCCGAGCACACGCACGGAAGGGGGGAGGGAGGGGUGCAGCCGCUCAUGCGGAUCGAGGGGAAGGAGAAAGGUGCUGAUGCUGCUGGCUACUUGGGGAAGGGGAUGCGAGCGACCUUGGGCGAGUUAAGAGACCUGAGGCGAGGCCGGCGGCGACCUAUGGAAGUAAGGGGACGCCGACAACCUUGGGAAGGAAGGGGAAGUAGGCGACCUUGGGAAGGAGGGAGAGGCCGGUGAAUUGGGGUAGGGGAUGCGGGUGACCUGGGGAAGGGCGGAUGUGAGCUGCUCAGCCCGUCGUUGCUGUCGGCAGCCGGCGGCCACCGCCCGUCGCUUGGAGGACGAGGGGAACGGAGAAAGAGGAGUCGUAUCGGGAAGGAGUUUUGGGCGAUGGGACGAGGGGAACAGCAGCCGCACCAGGCGACAUGCCUCGCCGUGCCGCUUGGUGGCCAAGAUGAGGCCGCCCCAUGCUCUGUUCCGAUGGGCCUCCUCUGCUCGAUGGUUGCACUGGUUGAGUUUGGUACGGUUUCCUGUUGUCGGCUGCGUCGAGCCUUGGGUCUUGUCUCUCCUUCGCAUUGAGCCUACUUCUCCUGUCGCCAGCGCUUCUUCUUCUCGUCUGUCCUGCUGCUAACCCAACAUGCUUCUGCUUGCUGCCUCGGGUUGUACGAUCUCUUCUGUCGCAGCGUCGUUCGACUCAUCAAGGACAACAGUGAGAAGGGGCUCUUGAGGCGGCUGCACUCGGCCCCCCCUGCAGCCACGCACCACAUCGUCCGGCCGUGUUGGUGAAAUUUGCAGAACUGACGGCUUCGCAGUAAGACUAUGGACAUCUGCUAGGUUUUGGUAAUGGUGAGGACAGGUGCUGCCGAAGAUAAUUCGAGGUUUCUCGGAAAAUCCAGGGGACAAUGUCAUAGUGCUGACAUUGGGGACAAGUUUUGAUACUUCGGGAGAAGCCUAUGACUUUUACAACCUGUGCUUUUGGGAUAAGCGAUUCGGCAUUAGUAGGAAGACUGAAAGACAGUUAAUGGGAAAAUUAGUGGUGUGAUUGAAUAAGUAGUUUCAUGCUUCUGAUGUCUGAUGUAUGAUUAGAGCAUUUUCUCUUAUGGUGUACUGAAUUAUUAAAGAUUGUGUGUGAACUGUUAAGAUGCAAUUUUUCUAUGUAUGUGUGGAUCCACGGCGGUCCAGACUGUACUACUGUAGUAGUUUAUACUUUCUGAAUGCAACGUAGCAUGAUAAAUAUAUUGUGUUUGACAAA
Triticum dicoccoides is the source of this 1530-nucleotide long non-coding RNA. RefSeq lists it as uncharacterized. The record is from RefSeq and is a predicted model, not a curated record. NCBI's taxonomy places the organism in Eukaryota, Viridiplantae, Streptophyta, Magnoliopsida, Poales, Poaceae. The transcript has 6 exons.